CAAUACUUUGGUGGCGACCGGCGCACGGGUGCGUAACGCGUAUGCAACCUACCUUUAACAGGGGCAUAACACUGAGAAAUUGGUACUAAUUCCCCAUAACAUUCGAGAAGGCAUCUUCUUGGGUUAAAAACUCCGGUGGUUAAAGAUGGGCAUGCGUUGUAUUAGCUAGUUGGUGAGGUAACGGCUCACCAAGGCAACGAUACAUAGGGGGACUGAGAGGUUAACCCCCCACAUUGGUACUGAGGCACGGACCAAACUCCUACGGGAGGCAGCAG
RNAcentral lists this ribosomal RNA (275 nucleotides) under uncultured bacterium. RNAcentral's name for it is "partial 16S ribosomal RNA". It matches the Rfam family "Bacterial small subunit ribosomal RNA", at positions 76 to 354 of the family's 1533-position model. The record is from RNAcentral.